GACGAACGCUGGCGGCGUGCUUAACACAUGCAAGUCGAACGGAAAGGCCCUGCUUUUGUGGGGUGCUCGAGUGGCGAACGGGUGAGUAACACGUGAGUAACCUGCCCUUGACUUUGGGAUAACUUCAGGAAACUGGGGCUAAUACCGGAUAGGAGCUCCUGCUGCAUGGUGGGGGUUGGAAAGUUUCGGCGGUUGGGGAUGGACUCGCGGCUUAUCAGCUUGUUGGUGGGGUAGUGGCUUACCAAGGCAUUGACGGGUAGCCGGCCUGAGGGGGUGACCGGACACAUUGGGACUGAGGUACGGCCCAAACUCCUACGGGGGGCAGUGGUGGGGCAUAUUGCAAAAUGGGAGGAAGCCUAAUGCAGAAACGCCGCGUGCGGGAUGCCGGCCUUCGGGUGGUAAACCGCUUUCGCAUGUGACGAAGCGUGAGUGACGGUAAUGGGUAAAGAAGCACCGGCUAACUACGUG
RNAcentral lists this ribosomal RNA (468 nucleotides) under uncultured bacterium. RNAcentral's name for it is "partial 16S ribosomal RNA". It matches the Rfam family "Bacterial small subunit ribosomal RNA", at positions 28 to 507 of the family's 1533-position model. The record is from RNAcentral.